GGGUAGUUAUACCGUAGAGGUAGCGGUGCUGACUGUAAAUCAGUUGUCUUAGACUCGGGGCGUUCGACUCACCCACUUCUCACCA
RNAcentral lists this transfer RNA (85 nucleotides) under Tissierella sp. P1. Its description in RNAcentral is "tRNA-Tyr". It matches the Rfam family "tRNA". From Rfam's summary of the family: Transfer RNA (tRNA) molecules are approximately 80 nucleotides in length. Their secondary structure includes four short double-helical elements and three loops (D, anti-codon, and T loops). The record is from RNAcentral. Lineage: Bacteria; Bacillati; Bacillota; Tissierellia; Tissierellales; Tissierellaceae.